CCUACGGGUGGCAGCAGUGGGGAAUAUUGCACAAUGGGCGAAACCCUGAUGCAGCGACGCCGCGUGAGUGAAGCAGGAAUUCGUUACGUAAAGCUCUAUCAGCAGGGAAGAAAAUGUCGGUACCUGAGUUAGAAGCCCCGGCGAACUACGUGACAGAAGCCGCGGUAAUAUGGAGGGGGCAAGCGUUAUCCGGAUUUACUGGGUGUAAAGGGGGCGUAGGCGGUGUGCCAAGUCAGGAGUGAAAUGUCGCAGCUUAACUGCGGAACUGCUUUGAAAACUGGCGAACUAGAGUGCGGGAGGGGGAGGCGGAAUUCCUGGUGUAGCGGUGAAAUGCGUAGAUAUUAGGAGGAACACCGGUGGCGAAGGCGGCUUACUGGACCGUAACUGACGUUGAGGCACGAAAGCGUGGGGAGCAAACAGGAUUAGAUACCCCAGUAGUC
This 440-nucleotide ribosomal RNA is filed under the name uncultured bacterium. RNAcentral describes it as "partial 16S ribosomal RNA". It matches the Rfam family "Bacterial small subunit ribosomal RNA", at positions 338 to 795 of the family's 1533-position model. The record is from RNAcentral.